GAUCCUGGCUCAGGAUGAACGCUGGCGGCGUGCUUAACACAUGCAAGUCGAACGAGGAUUUAACGGAAUGCGAUUCGUCAAAUGAAAUUAAAUCCGAGUGGCGGACGGGUGAGUAACGCGUGGAUAACCUGCCUCACACAGGGGGACAACAGCCGGAAACGGCUGCUAAUACCGCAUAACACAAGUAAUUCGCAUGAAUAACUUGCCAAAGAUUUUAUCGGUGUGAGAUGGAUCCGCGU
Molecule: ribosomal RNA, 239 nt
Filed under: uncultured bacterium
Lineage: Bacteria
Description: partial 16S ribosomal RNA
Rfam family: Bacterial small subunit ribosomal RNA
Source: RNAcentral